Molecule: non-coding RNA, 72 nt
Organism: Trichophaea hybrida
Lineage: Eukaryota; Fungi; Ascomycota; Pezizomycetes; Pezizales; Pyronemataceae
Source: the annotation of a GenBank genome assembly
GACUUCCUAGCCUAACGGGUAGGAUAUGGUGCUAUAAACCCCAUGUAGCAGGCUCGAAACCUGCCGUGAUCA